Molecule: small nucleolar RNA, 107 nt
Organism: Eutrema salsugineum
Lineage: Eukaryota; Viridiplantae; Streptophyta; Magnoliopsida; Brassicales; Brassicaceae
Rfam family: Plant small nucleolar RNA R71
About the family: R71 is a member of the C/D box family of snoRNAs containing the C (UGAUGA) and D (CUGA) box motifs. Multiple nearly identical copies of this snoRNA have been identified in Arabidopsis, and it is thought to function as a 2'-O-ribose methylation guide for 18S ribosomal RNA.
Source: Rfam
AACUCAUGGUGUGGGCACUGGUUGGUGUAGCUCCUGAAUCUCUCAUAUGCUUCACCAAAACUCUCAUUGCUAUGUUAAGUGAAGCUGAAUAUUUGGUUUCUUAGCUU